CCUGAGGACAAGAGGAGGAUUUCUAUCAGUGUCUCUGUAUUCUAAGCCGGAGACUCUGCAUGAGCAGACCUCCUCCCUGCCUGGAAGGGACUCAGCUCCAGCAUCCUUGACUGUCUCCAUGGCUCUGCCGAUCCCUGCUGAAACAACGUGCCCAGAGGACAGCAGGAGAGAGCCUAUAAAGGUACGGGAAGGAACCUGAAGGCAAUGGCAGGCUGCUCAGCCGGGACUUAAACUUUAACUCAGUUGAGCCCACAUCUGCCAGAGCACCCCGAGACCACCCCGCCGGAGA
Long non-coding RNA from Tyto alba (common barn owl), 289 nucleotides. RefSeq lists it as uncharacterized. The transcript has 3 exons. Lineage: Eukaryota; Metazoa; Chordata; Aves; Strigiformes; Tytonidae. The record is from RefSeq and is a predicted model, not a curated record.